AUUCCUCCCCCUUUCUGCCUUUGUGUGGGCAUGGAAGGCGGGGACUUGGGGGACUUCUUGCGGGUCUUUUGGGAUCCGCUCCCCUUGAAUGCAUUAGCAAAGCCCAUGUGCGGGUCUUGGUGUGAUAAUUAUCUACGCUGAACCCAACCAAAAAGGAUUUGCUUCGAACCGUCGAGAGACAGCUUUCAUUGA
RNAcentral lists this unclassified non-coding RNA (192 nucleotides) under uncultured Agaricomycetes. RNAcentral describes it as "sequence contains ITS2". Lineage: Eukaryota; Fungi; Basidiomycota; Agaricomycetes. The record is from RNAcentral.